This 439-nucleotide ribosomal RNA is filed under the name uncultured bacterium. Its description in RNAcentral is "partial 16S ribosomal RNA". It matches the Rfam family "Bacterial small subunit ribosomal RNA", at positions 339 to 795 of the family's 1533-position model. The record is from RNAcentral.
CUACGGGACGCAGCAGUGGGGAAUUUUGCGCAAUGGGGGAAACCCUGACGCAGCAAUACCGCGUGAGUGAAGAAGGCCUUUGGGUCGUAAAGCUCUUUUCUUGGGGAAGAUAGUGACGGUGCCCAAGGAAUAAGCACCGGCUAACUCCGUGCCAGCAGCCGCGGUAAUACGGAGGGUGCAAGCGUUGUUCGGAUUUACUGGGCGUAAAGGGCACGUAGGCGGCACAGCAAGUUAAGGGUGAAAUCCCGGGGCUCAACUCCGGAACUGCUCUUAAAACUGCUGAGCUAGAGAUAGUCAGAGGCGGGUGGAAUUCCAGGUGUAGAGGUGAAAUUCGUAGAUAUCUGGAGGAACACCGGUGGCGAAGGCGGCCCGCUGGGGCUAUUCUGACGCUAAGGUGCGAAAGCGUGGGGAGCAAACGGGAUUAGAUACCCGUGUAGUC